AAGAAAACAGAGCCACAGUCCAGAUGUAUUUGCACUGGGAGAAAUAACCUGGAGAUUUACAUCAAGCUGAGGACAUCACACUGUGCUGUGAGCAGGCUGGUGAGGGUCUCAUCAGA
Pogoniulus pusillus (Red-fronted tinkerbird) is the source of this 116-nucleotide long non-coding RNA. RefSeq lists it as uncharacterized. The transcript is spliced from 2 exons. The record is from RefSeq and is a predicted model, not a curated record. NCBI's taxonomy places the organism in Eukaryota, Metazoa, Chordata, Aves, Piciformes, Lybiidae.